GGGUUGUGAGGUUAAGCGACUAAGCGUACACGGUGGAUGCCCUGGCAGUCAGAGGCGAUGAAGGGCGUGCUAAUCUGCGAUAAGCGCCGGUAAGGUGAUAUGAACCGUUAUAACCGGCGAUACCCGAAUGGGGAAACCCAGUGUGAUUCGUCACACUAUCAUUAACUGAAUCCAUAGGUUAAUGAGGCGAACCGGGGGAACUGAAACAUCUAAGUACCCCGAGGAAAAGAAAUCAACCGAGAUUCCCCCAGUAGCGGCGAGCGAACGGGGAGGAGCCCAGAGCCUGAAUCAGCAUGUGUGUUAGUGGAAGCGUCUGGAAAGGCGCGCGAUACAGGGUGACAGCCCCGUACACAAAAGCGCAUGUGCUGUGAGCUCGAUGAGUAGGGCGGGACACGUGGUAUCCCUGUCUGAAUAUGGGGGGACCAUCCUCCAAGGCUAAAUACUCCUGACUGACCGAUAGUGAACCAGUACCGUGAGGGAAAGGCGAAAAGAACCCCGGCGAGGGGAGUGAAAAAGAACCUGAAACCGUGUACGUACAAGCAGUGGGAGCACCCUUCGGGGUGUGACUGCGUACCUUUUGUAUAAUGGGUCAGCGACUUAUAUUCUGUAGCAAGGUUAACCGUAUAGGGGAGCCGGAGGGAAACCGAGUCUUAAUUGGGCGUUAAGUUGCAGGGUAUAGACCCGAAACCCGGUGAUCUAGCCAUGGGCAGGUUGAAGGUUGGGUAACACUAACUGGAGGACCGAACCGACUAAUGUUGAAAAAUUAGCGGAUGACCUGUGGCUGGGGGUGAAAGGCCAAUCAAACCGGGAGAUAGCUGGUUCUCCCCGAAAGCUAUUUAGGUAGCGCCUCGUGAAUUCAUCUCCGGGGGUAGAGCACUGUUUCGGCUAGGGGGCCAUCCCGGCUUACCAACCCGAUGCAAACUGCGAAUACCGGAGAAUGUUAUCACGGGAGACACACGGCGGGUGCUAACGUCCGUCGUGAAGAGGGAAACAACCCAGACCGCCAGCUAAGGUCCCAAAGUCAUGGUUAAGUGGGAAACGAUGUGGGAAGGCCCAGACAGCUAGGAUGUUGGCUUAGAAGCAGCCAUCAUUUAAAGAAAGCGUAAUAGCUCACUGGUCGAGUCGGCCUGCGCGGAAGAUGUAACGGGGCUAAACCAUGCACCGAAGCUGCGGCAGCGAACGUAUCACCCAAGACAACUUUACGGGUUGACGAUUGACGGAGCGAAGCGACGUCAAAGCGUUCAUUAAAGUCGAGUUGGCUUAGGGAUACGUUCGUUGGGUAGGGAGGGUUCUGUAAGCCUGUGAAGGUGUGUCGUGAGGCAUGCUGGAGGUAUCAGAAGUGCGAAUGCUGACAUAAGUAACGAUAAAGCGGGUGAAAAGCCCGCUCGCCGGAAGACCAAGGGUUCCUGUCCAACGUUAAUCGGGGCAGGGUGAGUCGACCCCUAAGGCGAGGCCGAAAGGCGUAGUCGAUGGGAAACGGGUUAAUAUUCCCGUACUUGGUGUUACUGCGAAGGGGGGACGGAGAAGGCUAUGUUGGCCGGGCGACGGUUGUCCCGGUUUAAGCGUGUAGGUGUGUGUUCCAGGUAAAUCCGGUUCACUUUAACACUGAGGCGUGACGACGAGGCACUACGGUGCUGAAGCAACAAAUGCCCUGCUUCCAGGAAAAGCCUCUAAGCAUCAGGUAACACGAAAUCGUACCCCAAACCGACACAGGUGGUCAGGUAGAGAAUACCAAGGCGCUUGAGAGAACUCGGGUGAAGGAACUAGGCAAAAUGGUGCCGUAACUUCGGGAGAAGGCACGCUGACACGUAGGUGAAGUGAUUUACUCAUGGAGCUGAAGUCAGUCGAAGAUACCAGCUGGCUGCAACUGUUUAUUAAAAACACAGCACUGUGCAAACACGAAAGUGGACGUAUACGGUGUGACGCCUGCCCGGUGCCGGAAGGUUAAUUGAUGGGGUCAGCGUAAGCGAAGCUCCUGAUCGAAGCCCCGGUAAACGGCGGCCGUAACUAUAACGGUCCUAAGGUAGCGAAAUUCCUUGUCGGGUAAGUUCCGACCUGCACGAAUGGCGUAAUGAUGGCAAGGCAGUCUCCACCCGAGACUCAGUGAAAUUGAACUCGCUGUGAAGAUGCAGUGUACCCGCGGCAAGACGGAAAGACCCCGUGAACCUUUACUAUAGCUUGACACUGAACAUUGAGCCUUGAUGUGUAGGAUAGGUGGGAGGCUUUGAAGUGUGGACGCCAGUCUGCAUGGAGCCGACCUUGAAAUACCACCCUUUAAUGUUUGAUGUUCUAACGUGGACCCGUAAUCCGGGUUGCGGACAGUGUCUGGUGGGUAGUUUGACUGGGGCGGUCUCCUCCUAAAGAGUAACGGAGGAGCACGAAGGUUGGCUAAUCCUGGUCGGACAUCAGGAGGUUAGUGCAAUGGCAUAAGCCAGCUUGACUGCGAGCGUGACGGCGCGAGCAGGUGCGAAAGCAGGUCAUAGUGAUCCGGUGGUUCUGAAUGGAAGGGCCAUCGCUCAACGGAUAAAAGGUACUCCGGGGAUAACAGGCUGAUACCGCCCAAGAGUUCAUAUCGACGGCGGUGUUUGGCACCUCGAUGUCGGCUCAUCACAUCCUGGGGCUGAAGUAGGUCCCAAGGGUAUGGCUGUUCGCCAUUUAAAGUGGUACGCGAGCUGGGUUUAGAACGUCGUGAGACAGUUCGGUCCCUAACUGCCGUGGGCGCUGGAGAACCGAGGGGGGCUGUCCCUAGUACGAGAGGACCGGAGUGGACGCAUCACUGGUGUUCGGGUUGUCAUGCCAAUGGCACUGCCCGGUAGCUAAAUGCGGAAGAGAUAAGUGCUGAAAGCAUCUAAGCACGAAACUUGCCCCGAGAUGAGUUCUCCCUGAGACUUAGAGUCUCCUGAAGGAACGUUGAAGACGACGACGUUGAUAGGCCGGGUGUGUAAGCGCAGCGAUGCGUUGAGCUAACCGGUACUAAUGAACCGUGAGGCUUAACCUUACAACGCCGAAG
Molecule: ribosomal RNA, 3010 nt
Filed under: Salmonella enterica subsp. enterica serovar 1,4,[5],12:i:-
Lineage: Bacteria; Pseudomonadati; Pseudomonadota; Gammaproteobacteria; Enterobacterales; Enterobacteriaceae
Description: 23S ribosomal RNA
Rfam family: Bacterial large subunit ribosomal RNA
Source: RNAcentral